AUGAACGCUGGCGGCGUGCCUAAUACAUGCAAGUCGAGCGAACGGACGAGAAGCUUGCUUCUCUGAUGUUAGCGGCGGACGGGUGAGUAACCCGUGGAUAACCUACCUAUAAGACUGGGAUAACUUCGGGAAACCGGAGCUAAUACCGGAUGAUAUUUUGAACCGCAUGGUUCAAAAGUGAAAGACGGUCUUGCUGUCACUUAUAGAUGGAUCCGCGCUGCAUUAGCUAGUUGGUAAGGUAACGGCUUACCAAGGCAACGAUGCAUAGCCGACCUGAGAGGGUGAUCGGCCACACUGGAACUGAGACACGGUCCAGACUCCUACGGGAGGCAGCAGUAGGGAAUCUUCCGCAAUGGGCGAAAGCCUGACGGAGCAACGCCGCGUGAGUGAUGAAGGUCUUCGGAUCGUAAAACUCUGUUAUUAGGGAAGAACAUAUGUGUAAGUAACUGUGCACAUCUUGACGGUACCUAAUCAGAAAGCCACGGCUAACUACGU
This 495-nucleotide ribosomal RNA is filed under the name uncultured bacterium. RNAcentral describes it as "partial 16S ribosomal RNA". It matches the Rfam family "Bacterial small subunit ribosomal RNA", at positions 29 to 506 of the family's 1533-position model. The record is from RNAcentral.